AACCAGACUCCUACGGGAGGCAGCAGUGGGGAAUAUUGCACAAUGGGGGAAACCCUGAUGCAGCAACGCCGCGUGAGUGAAGAAGUAUUUCGGUAUGUAAAGCUCUAUCAGCAGGGAAGAGAAUGACGGUACCUGACUAAGAAGCCCCGGCUAACUACGUGCCAGCAGCCGCGGUAAUACGUAGGGGGCGAGCGUUAUCCGGAUUUACUGGGUGUAAAGGGAGCGUAGACGGUUCUGCAAGUCUGGAGUGAAAGCCCGGGGCCCAACCCCGGGACUGCUCUGGAAACUGCGGCGCUGGAGUACGGGAGGGGCAGGCGGAAUUCCUGGUGUAGCGGUGAAAUGCGUAGAUAUUAGGAGGAACACCAGUGGCGAAGGCGUCUUACUGGACCGAAACUGACGUUGAGGCUCGAAAGCGUGGGGAGCAAACAGGAUUAGAUACCCUUGUA
This 446-nucleotide ribosomal RNA is filed under the name uncultured bacterium. RNAcentral describes it as "partial 16S ribosomal RNA". It matches the Rfam family "Bacterial small subunit ribosomal RNA", at positions 329 to 792 of the family's 1533-position model. The record is from RNAcentral.